UUGCUUUGGCGGCAUGUAUACUAAAAUAGGGAUGAUACCAAGUAGAUUAGCAUGGCCUUUUUUUGCAAGGAAGACAUUCAAAUUUCUAAACUGUUCCAUAUUUUU
This 105-nucleotide small nuclear RNA is filed under the name Peromyscus maniculatus bairdii (prairie deer mouse). The record is from RNAcentral. Lineage: Eukaryota; Metazoa; Chordata; Mammalia; Rodentia; Cricetidae.